GGUGAAGUGGCUGAAAUUAUAGGCGGUAGACUGUAAAUCUAUUUAUGGGGUUAAUUCCUUCUUUACCA
Molecule: transfer RNA, 68 nt
Filed under: Mekongiella kingdoni
Lineage: Eukaryota; Metazoa; Arthropoda; Insecta; Orthoptera; Pyrgomorphidae
Description: tRNA-Tyr
Rfam family: tRNA
About the family: Transfer RNA (tRNA) molecules are approximately 80 nucleotides in length. Their secondary structure includes four short double-helical elements and three loops (D, anti-codon, and T loops).
Source: RNAcentral